Salmo salar (Atlantic salmon) is the source of this 54-nucleotide non-coding RNA. Lineage: Eukaryota; Metazoa; Chordata; Actinopteri; Salmoniformes; Salmonidae. The record is from Rfam.
CUCAUUGUAAUCUGUAAGUCGCUCUGGAUAAGAGCGUCUGCUAAAUGACUUAAA